UGCAUGGCCGUCGUCAGCUCGUGCCGUGAGGUGUUGGUUAAGUCCGCAACGAGCGCAACCCCGCCGUUAGUUGCCAGCGGUUCGGCCGGGCACUCUAACGGGACUGCCCGCGAAAGCGGGAGGAAGGAGGGGACGACGUCUGGUCAGCAUGGCCCUUACGGCCUGGGCGACACACGUGCUACAAUGCCCACUACAAAGCGAGGCCACCCGGCAACGGGGAGCUAAUCGCAAAAAGGUGGGCCCAGUUCGGAUUGGGGUCUGCAACCCGACCCCAUGAAGCCGGAAUCGCUAGUAAUCGCGGAUCAGCCAUGCCGCGGUGAAUACGUUCCCGGGCCUU
Molecule: ribosomal RNA, 337 nt
Filed under: uncultured Thermus sp.
Lineage: Bacteria; Thermotogati; Deinococcota; Deinococci; Thermales; Thermaceae
Description: bacterial SSU rRNA
Rfam family: Bacterial small subunit ribosomal RNA
Source: RNAcentral